Long non-coding RNA from Mesoplodon densirostris (Blainville's beaked whale), 958 nucleotides. RefSeq lists it as uncharacterized. The transcript has 3 exons. NCBI's taxonomy places the organism in Eukaryota, Metazoa, Chordata, Mammalia, Artiodactyla, Ziphiidae. The record is from RefSeq and is a predicted model, not a curated record.
GUGGGACGGCGAGCACACAUGGCGACCUCAGGCUGUGACGGACUGUGUGCGCGCCCCUGGGUGCCCCCCUGCGCCGCCUGCCCCUUGGGAGAAAUGUGAGGCCCUAACACAAGCUGGAGGCAGAGGCGGCCCGGCUCUGCAGACACCUGACCCUCGCCCCGCAACGUGAAGCCGGGGAGGGGCUCGGGGCGCCAAGAGCGCCUCAAGAGGCGCGGGAGCGCCAGGGCUGACGGUCAACUUUGCGCCCAAAUACGGGGCUCAUGGGCUGCGGGCCUUGGCGGCGGGGACAGGACGGACGGAGCGAUUAUGAUUGAGGAGGUCUGCGUGGGGCCUGGGACUGCAUAUUUCCUACUAGCUCCCAAGUGCUACUGAUGCUGGUCUGAGAAGCAAGACUCCUGGAGAUCACUGCAGAAACAGAAGUGUCAGCUGAUGGCGAUCUUGUUAACCAGUGCCAAAUUAUCAUCAAUCAGCCGCUACACUUCAUAUUUCAUCAUCUUAUGUAGAUGACCCUCAGGUAUUGUUUCAAGAGCAAGUGUUCUUCAGCUGAAAAUAGAGAAUCAAACAUCCAGCAUUUGCAGAGCAUUUCUGGAAGUGUUCUGUGGUUUUGGUCCUUUGAUAAGAAAGCACUGGGGGACUUCCCUGGUGGCGCAGUGGUUAAGAAUCCCCCUGCCAAUGCAGGGGAUAUGGGUUCGAGCCCUGGUCCGGGAAGAUCCCACAUGCCAUGGAGCAACUAAGCCCGUGUGCCACAACUACUGAGCCUGCGCUCUAGAGCCCGCGAGCCACAACUACUGAAGCCCACGUGCUUAGAGCCCAUGCUCCACAACAAGAGAAGCCACCGCAAUGAGAAGCCCGCGCACCGCAACGAAGAGUAGCCCCCACUCGCCGCAACUAGAGAAAACCCACGCGUGCAACGAAGACCCAAUGCAGCCAAAAAUAAAUAAGUAAAUAAAUAAAUUUA